AGCGAACGCUGGCGGCAUGCCUAACACAUGCAAGUCGAACGAGACCUUCGGGUCUAGUGGCGCACGGGUGCGUAACGCGUGGGAACCUGCCCUUAGGUUCGGAAUAACUCCCCGAAAGGGGUGCUAAUACCGGAUAAUGUCUUCGGACCAAAGAUUUAUCGCCUUUGGAUGGGCCCGCGUUGGAUUAGCUAGUUGGUAGGGUAAAAGCCUACCAAGGCGACGAUCCAUAGCUGGUCUGAGAGGAUGAUCAGCCACACUGGGACUGAGACACGGCCCAGACUCCUACGGGAGGCAGCAGGGGGGAAUAUUGGACAAUGGGCGAAAGCCUGAUCCAGCAAUGCCGCGUGAGUGAUGAAGGCCUUAGGGUUGUAAAGCUCUUUUACCCGGGAUGAUAAUGACAGUACCGGGAGAAUAAGCUCCGGCUAACUCCGUG
Molecule: ribosomal RNA, 433 nt
Filed under: uncultured bacterium
Lineage: Bacteria
Description: partial 16S ribosomal RNA
Rfam family: Bacterial small subunit ribosomal RNA
Source: RNAcentral